UGGGGAAUCUUGCGCAAUGGGGGAAACCCUGACGCAGCAACGCCGCGUGGGUGAUGAAGGCCUUCGGGUUGUAAAGCUCUUUCAGCAGGAACGAAACGGUGCGCUCUAACAUAGCGUGCUAAUGACGGUACCUGCAGAAGAAGCACCGGCUAACUACGUGCCAGCAGCCGCGGUAAUACGUAGGGUGCGAGCGUUAAUCGGAAUUACUGGGCGUAAAGCGUGCGCAGGCGGAUUGUUAAGCAAGACGUGAAAUCCCCGGGCUUAACCUGGGAAUGGCGUUUUGAACUGGCAGUCUAGAGUGUGUCAGAGGGGGGUGGAAUUCCACGUGUAGCAGUGAAAUGCGUAGAGAUGUGGAGGAACACCAAUGGCGAAGGCAGCCCCCUGGGAUAACACUGACGCUCAUGUACGAAAGCGUGGGUAGCAAACAGGAUUAGAUACCCUGGUAGUCCACGCCCUAAACGAUGUCAACUGGUUGUUGGGGGAGUGAAAUCUCUUAGUAACGAAGCUAACGCGUGAAGUUGACCGCCUGGGGAGUACGGUCGCAAGAUUA
This 550-nucleotide ribosomal RNA is filed under the name uncultured bacterium. RNAcentral's name for it is "bacterial SSU rRNA". It matches the Rfam family "Bacterial small subunit ribosomal RNA", at positions 355 to 896 of the family's 1533-position model. The record is from RNAcentral.